This 512-nucleotide long non-coding RNA is filed under the name Homo sapiens (human). RNAcentral's name for it is "DIAPH3 antisense RNA 1 (DIAPH3-AS1)". The record is from RNAcentral. Lineage: Eukaryota; Metazoa; Chordata; Mammalia; Primates; Hominidae.
CUGACUUCCUCCAAGUGAUACUACCUGCCUUCUCUGCCAAACCCUCUGGCCCUAACCUAUCAUGUAUGAAAGGUGAAAUAGGAGCAUACUCUGAUUUCACAGUUUUAACCAUCAUCCUGUGACCCCAAAAGUCCAUCACAGGAGGGCAUAUGCACAAAGACAUUAAAUGUAAAAGAAAUGGCCUGUGCUGAGCAACAGAGAAAGCUGUAUCAGAGAUAAAACCAAACAGAUGAAUUACCUCACAGGAUUGCUGGUCAAAGACACUCGGAGAGACUCCAGGCAUGUGACAAGUCUCUCAUCUGCAGACCCCAUUUUCAGCUCAUGAAUGAAUUCCUGAGAUUCACCAUCCAACGGCAGGAAAUGAAUUGUGUAAGUUCAAAAGAAGAUCAGGUGAAGUGGUACGAAAUUCGGUGUUUUUCAUGUUUUUUGUUUUUAUUAAUUUACUAUAAUGUUAUUCAAAACAACAUUCCCAAUAAAGCAAAACAAAUUAGCACUGUAAAAAAAAAAAAAAA